GGGGAUGUGGCUCAGUGGUAGAGUACUUGCCUAGCAUGCAUGAGGCCUUAGGUUCCAACUCUAGCACUCACA
RNAcentral lists this transfer RNA (72 nucleotides) under Ictidomys tridecemlineatus (thirteen-lined ground squirrel). RNAcentral describes it as "Spermophilus tridecemlineatus (thirteen-lined ground squirrel) tRNA". It matches the Rfam family "tRNA". Rfam says of the family: Transfer RNA (tRNA) molecules are approximately 80 nucleotides in length. Their secondary structure includes four short double-helical elements and three loops (D, anti-codon, and T loops). Further hydrogen bonds mediate the characteristic L-shaped molecular structure. tRNAs have two regions of fundamental functional importance: the anti-codon, which is responsible for specific mRNA codon recognition, and the 3' end, to which the tRNAs corresponding amino acid is attached (by aminoacyl-tRNA synthetases). tRNAs cope with the degeneracy of the genetic code in two manners: having more than one tRNA (with a specific anti-codon) for a particular amino acid; and 'wobble' base-pairing, i.e. permitting non-standard base-pairing at the 3rd anti-codon position. Lineage: Eukaryota; Metazoa; Chordata; Mammalia; Rodentia; Sciuridae. The record is from Rfam by way of RNAcentral.